This 486-nucleotide ribosomal RNA is filed under the name uncultured bacterium. Its description in RNAcentral is "partial 16S ribosomal RNA". It matches the Rfam family "Bacterial small subunit ribosomal RNA", at positions 30 to 507 of the family's 1533-position model. The record is from RNAcentral.
AUUGAACGCUGGCGACAUGCCUUACACAUGCAAGUCGAACGGCAGCACGGGUGCUUGCACCUGGUGGCGAGUGGCGAACGGGUGAGUAAUACAUCGGAACAUGUCCUUUAGUGGGGGAUAGCCCGGCGAAAGCCGGAUUAAUACCGCAUACGAUCUACGGAUGAAAGCGGGGGACCUUCGGCCCUCGCGCUAUAGGGUUGGCCGAUGGCUGAUUAGCUAGUUGGUGGGGUAAAGGCCUACCAAGGCGACGAUCAGUAGCUGGUCUGAGAGGACGACCAGCCACACUGGGACUGAGACACGGCCCAGACUCCUACGGGAGGCAGCAGUGGGGAAUUUUGGACAAUGGGCGAAAGCCUGAUCCAGCAAUGCCGCGUGUGUGAAGAAGGCCUUCGGGUUGUAAAGCACUUUUGUCCGGAAAGAAAUCCUUGGCCCUAAUACGGUCGGGGGAUGACGGUACCGGAAGAAUAAGCACCGGCUAACUACGUG